Molecule: unclassified non-coding RNA, 333 nt
Filed under: soil metagenome
Description: partial contains 5.8S ribosomal RNA, internal transcribed spacer 2, and large subunit ribosomal RNA
Rfam family: 5.8S ribosomal RNA (bases 1-121)
Source: RNAcentral
GAUGAAGGAACGCAGCGAAAUGCGAUAAGUAAUGUGAAUUGCAGAAUUCAGUGAAUCAUCGAAUCUUUGAACGCACAUUGCGCCCGCUAGUAUUCUGGCGGGCAUGCCUGUUCGAGCGUCAUUUCAACCAUCAAGCCCUGUUUAGGCUUGCGUUGGGGCCCUGCGGCUGCCGCAGCCCCCUAAAUGCAGUGGCGGGCUCGUUGUCACUCCGAGCGCAGUAGCGUAUCUCGCUCUGGGCGUGGCGGCGGGUGCUAGCCGUGAAACACCCACUAAGGUUGACCUCGGAUCAGGUAGGAAUACCCGCUGAACUUAAGCAUAUCAAUAAGCGGAGGA